RNAcentral lists this ribosomal RNA (319 nucleotides) under uncultured Streptococcus sp. RNAcentral's name for it is "bacterial SSU rRNA". It matches the Rfam family "Bacterial small subunit ribosomal RNA", at positions 1059 to 1382 of the family's 1533-position model. Lineage: Bacteria; Bacillati; Bacillota; Bacilli; Lactobacillales; Streptococcaceae. The record is from RNAcentral.
GUCGUGUCGUGAGAUGUGGUUAAGUCCGCAACGAGCGCAACCCCUAUUGUUAGUUGCCAUCAUUCAGUUGGGCACUCUAGCGAGACUGCCGGUAAUAAACCGGAGGAAGGUGGGGAUGACGUCAAAUCAUCAUGCCCCUUAUGACCUGGGCUACACACGUGCUACAAUGGUUGGUACAACGAGUUGCGAGUCGGUGACGGCGAGCUAAUCUCUUAAAGCCAAUCUCAGUUCGGAUUGUAGGCUGCAACUCGCCUACAUGAAGUCGGAAUCGCUAGUAAUCGCGGAUCAGCACGCCGCGGUGAAUACGUUCCCGGGCCUU